Molecule: long non-coding RNA, 313 nt
Filed under: Phoenix dactylifera (date palm)
Lineage: Eukaryota; Viridiplantae; Streptophyta; Magnoliopsida; Arecales; Arecaceae
Description: long non-coding RNA (PDAC_LNC007011)
Source: RNAcentral
UAAUCACUAGGCGUGUGGCGCCUCCAAUGAUUAUCUAGCCAUUGGACACAUUAUCAUCCAACUUAAUGGGAGGCUAUGACCUAGUUAUUUUUAUAACUAUUACAUUUUAGGGACCUAAUAAUUUUAGAGGUUUUGAUUUAAUUGAGAAUAGAUGAGAAGAACCGGUUAAUCUAGAUCCUCCCACUGACUUCAUCAAGUCAGAUUAAUAAGAACUAGAUUCAAUCCGGUUAAGAAGACACCUAAAUCAGUCAUACUGAUUUUUCUUAAGGCAUGGGUCAACUCGAAUCAUUAAGUGAUCCAAUCAAAAUGUGAU